AUUGAACGCUGGCGGCAGGCCUAACACAUGCAAGUCGAGCGGAUGAAGGGAGCUUGCUCCUGGAUUCAGCGGCGGACGGGUGAGUAAUGCCUAGGAAUCUGCCUGGUAGUGGGGGAUAACGUCCGGAAACGGGCGCUAAUACCGCAUACGUCCUGAGGGAGAAAGUGGGGGAUCUUCGGACCUCACGCUAUCAGAUGAGCCUAGGUCGGAUUAGCUAGUUGGUGAGGUAAAGGCCUACCAAGGCGACGAUCCGUAACUGGUCUGAGAGGAUGAUCAGUCACACUGGAACUGAGACACGGUCCAGACUCCUACGGGAGGCAGCAGUGGGGAAUAUUGGACAAUGGGCGAAAGCCUGAUCCAGCCAUGCCGCGUGUGUGAAGAAGGUCUUCGGAUUGUAAAGCACUUUAAGUCGGGAGGAAGGGCAGUAAGUUAAUACCUUGCUGUUUUGACGUUACCAACAGAAUAAGCACCGGCUAACUUCGUG
RNAcentral lists this ribosomal RNA (484 nucleotides) under uncultured bacterium. RNAcentral describes it as "partial 16S ribosomal RNA". It matches the Rfam family "Bacterial small subunit ribosomal RNA", at positions 30 to 507 of the family's 1533-position model. The record is from RNAcentral.